This 813-nucleotide long non-coding RNA is filed under the name Homo sapiens (human). Its description in RNAcentral is "HSALNT0158298". Lineage: Eukaryota; Metazoa; Chordata; Mammalia; Primates; Hominidae. The record is from RNAcentral.
UAAGGGCUUUGGUUUUGGGGGAGUGGAUCUGUAUUUUCUCAGGGUCUUACUGUGGAGUUUGUAUCAGGGUUGGCCAGAGUGGAUGCUGGCAGGGGUCAGGGAGGCCCUGGAUAAUCAAGAGAGAGACAGAGGGAGUUUCUAGAGUUUACUUUUUCUUUUUCUUUCUUUUCUUUUUUCUUUCUUUCUUUUUUUUUUUAAACAGAGUCUUGCUGUGUCACCCAGGGUGGAGUGCAGUGGUACGAUCUCAGCUCACUGCAGCCUCUGCCUCCUGGGUUCAAGCGAUUCUCCUGCAUCAGCCUCCCGAGUAGCUAAGAUUAUAGGUGCGCACCAUGACAGCCAGCUAAUUUUUGUAUUUUUAGAAGAGACAGGGUUUCUCCAUGUUGGCCAGGCUGGUCUCAAACUCCUGACCUCAAGUAAUCCGCCUGCCUCGGCCUCCCAAAGUGCUGGGAUUACAAGCGUGAGUCUGGCCAGCUUCCCUGAUUCUUAAUGCUGUUAGCCUAGUGCGGUGAUCCUCAGAGUCUGCUCCCUGGAACGGCAGCGUCAGUAUCACCUGGGAACCUGAUAGAAAUACAGAUUCCUGGACCUAAGCAAGACGACUGCGUCAGAAACUCCACAGGAUGACGUAGCACAAACGCCCUUGAUACAUGGGGGCCCCUCGACCUCAGACUUCCCAGCCUCCAGAAUGGUAAGAAAUCUCUGUUCUUUAUAAGUUAUAAAUCUCUGUUCUUUAUAAAUCUCUGUUCUUUAUAAGUUACCCAGUCUCAGGCAUUCUGUUACAGUAGCACAAAAUGGGCUAAGACACCACUGAACUGU